Opisthocomus hoazin is the source of this 45-nucleotide regulatory RNA element. It matches the Rfam family "Histone 3' UTR stem-loop". Rfam says of the family: The mRNAs of metazoan histone genes lack a poly-A tail. 3' end processing occurs at a site between a highly conserved stem-loop (modelled by this family) and a purine rich region around 20 nts downstream (the histone downstream element, or HDE). NCBI's taxonomy places the organism in Eukaryota, Metazoa, Chordata, Aves, Opisthocomiformes, Opisthocomidae. The record is from Rfam.
CCAACGGCUCUUUUCAGAGCCACCCACUCUCUUACCAAAGAGCUG